GGCUCAGGAUGAACGCUGGCGGGUGCUUAACACAUGCAAGUCGAACGAUGAAGCCCAGCUUGCUGGGUGGAUAGUGGCGAACGGGUGAGUAACACGUGAGUAACCUGCCCUUAACUCUGGGAUAAGCCUGGGAAACUGGUCCUAAUACCGGAUAAGGAGCGUCCACCGCAUGGUGGGUGUUGGAAGAUUUAUCGGUUUUGGAUGGACUCGCGGCCUAUCAGCUUGUUGGUGAGGUAAUGGCUCACCAAGGCGACGACGGGUAGCCGGCCUGAGAGGGUGACCGGCCACACUGGGACUGAGACACGGCCCAGACUCCUACGGGAGGCAGCAGUGGGGAAUAUUGCACAAUGGGCGAAAGCCUGAUGCAGCGACGCCGCGUGAGGGAUGACGGCCUUCGGGUUGUAAACCUCUUUCAGUAGGGAAGAAGCGAAAGUGACGGUACCUGCAGAAGAAGCACCGGCUAACUACGUGCCAGCAGCCGCGUAAUACGUAGGGUGCGAGCGUUAUCCGGAAUUAUUGGGCGUAAAGAGCUCGUAGGCGGUUUGUCGCGUCUGUCGUGAAAGUCCGGGGCUUAACCCCGGAUCUGCGGUGGGUACGGGCAGACUAGAGUGCAGUAGGGGAGACUGGAAUUCCUGGUGUAGCGGUGGAAUGCGCAGAUACAGGAGGAACACCGAUGGCGAAGGCAGGUCUCUGGGCUGUAACUGACGCUGAGGAGCGAAAGCAUGGGGAGCGAACAGGAUUAGAUACCCUGGUAGUCCAUGCCGUAAACGUUGGGCACUAGGUGUGGGGACCAUUCCACGGUUUCCGCGCCGCAGCUAACGCAUUAAGUGCCCCGCCCUGGGGAGUACGGCCGCAAGGCUAAAACUCAAAGGAAUUGACGGGGGCCCGCACAAGCGGCGGAGCAUGCGGAUUAAUUCGAUGCAACGCGAAGAACCUUACCAAGGCUUGACAUGUUCCCGAUCGCCGUAGAGAUACGAUUUCCCCUUUGGGGCGGGUUCACAGGUGGUGCAUGGUUGUCGGUCAGCUCGUGUCGUGAGAUGUUGGGUUAAGUCCCGCAACGAGCCGCAACCCUCGUUCCAUGUUGCCAGCACGUAAUGGUGGGGACUCAUGGGAGACUGCCGGGGUCAACUCGGGGAAGGUGAGGACGACGUCAAAUCAUCAUGCCCCUUAUGUCUUGGGCUUUCACGCAUGCUACAAUGGGCCGGUACAAUGGGUUGCGAUACUGUGAGGUGGAGCUAAAUCCCAAAAAGCCGCGUCUCAGUUCGGAUUGGGGUCUGCAACUCGACCCCAUGAAGUCGGAGUCGCUAGUAUUCGCAAUCAGCAACGCUGCGUGAAUACGUUCCCGGGCCUUGUACACACCCCCGUCAAGUCACGAAAGGC
This 1380-nucleotide ribosomal RNA is filed under the name Micrococcus luteus. Its description in RNAcentral is "bacterial SSU rRNA". It matches the Rfam family "Bacterial small subunit ribosomal RNA". Lineage: Bacteria; Bacillati; Actinomycetota; Actinomycetes; Micrococcales; Micrococcaceae. The record is from RNAcentral.